RNAcentral lists this long non-coding RNA (281 nucleotides) under Brassica napus (rape). Its description in RNAcentral is "long non-coding RNA (BNAP_LNC022840)". The record is from RNAcentral. Lineage: Eukaryota; Viridiplantae; Streptophyta; Magnoliopsida; Brassicales; Brassicaceae.
UGCGAAUGUAUGUGUGUUUGGAUUGGAUGUCUUUAUCUUAGAUACUUGUGAGAUGCACGAAUUAAAAAUGGGUGAUUGAAGAUGUAUGAUCAGAGAAAAUAUGAAAUAGUUCAUGAAGUACGACAUAAACUACUACAAAGAGGAAGGGAAUGAUGUGGAAGAUUUACUUUGGAGUAGCUUAAGGGAAGUCGUUAAGAAAAUGUAACUCCCUUUAAGAAAAAGAAAGAUUGCCUUAAUUGGUGAAGAACACAAAAGGAAAUUUUUAAGAUUUGUAGGUCUUU